Molecule: ribosomal RNA, 467 nt
Filed under: uncultured bacterium
Lineage: Bacteria
Description: bacterial SSU rRNA
Rfam family: Bacterial small subunit ribosomal RNA
Source: RNAcentral
CCUCCAGACUCCUACGGGAGGCAGCAGUGGGGAAUAUUGCACAAUGGGGGAAACCCUGAUGCAGCGACGCCGCGUGAGUGAAGAAGUAUUUCGGUAUGUAAAGCUCUAUCAGCAGGGAAGAAAGGUGCCCCUUGGGCGCCUGGACGGUACCUGACUAAGAAGCCCCGGCUAACUACGUGCCAGCAGCCGCGGUAAUACGUAGGGGGCAAGCGUUAUCCGGAUUUACUGGGUGUAAAGGGAGCGUAGACGGCAGAGCAAGUCCGGAGUGAAAGCCCGGGGCCCAACCCCGGGACUGCUCUGGAAACUGUUAAGCUGGAGUGCGGGAGGGGCAGGCGGAAUUCCUGGUGUAGCGGUGAAAUGCGUAGAUAUCAGGAGGAACACCGGCGGCGAAGGCGGCCUGCUGGACCGUGACUGACGUUGAGGCUCGAAAGCGUGGGGAGCAAACAGGAUUAGAUACCCCCGUAAAC